GUGGGGAAUCUUCCGCAAUGGACGAAAGUCUGACGGAGCAACGCCGCGUGAGUGAAGAAGGUUUUCGGAUCGUAAAGCUCUUUCGUUAGGGACGAACGUGCUCUUUGUGAAUAAUGAGGAGUAAUGACGGUACCUAAAUAAGAAGCCACGGCUAACUACGUGCCAGCAGCCGCGGUAAUACGUAGGUGGCAAGCGUUGUCCGGAAUUAUUGGGCGUAAAGCGCGCGCAGGCGGGAUAUCAAGUCUGUCUUAAAAGUGCGAGGCUCAACCUCGUGAGGGGACAGAAACUGGUAUUCUUGAGUGUCGGAGAGGAAAGUGGAAUUCCAGGUGUAGCGGUGAAAUGCGUAGAGAUUUGGAAGAACACCAGUGGCGAAGGCGACUUUCUGGACGAUGUCUGACGCUGAGGCGCGAAAGCUAGGGGAGCGAACGGGAUUAGAUACCCGUGUAGUCC
This 450-nucleotide ribosomal RNA is filed under the name uncultured bacterium. Its description in RNAcentral is "partial 16S ribosomal RNA". It matches the Rfam family "Bacterial small subunit ribosomal RNA", at positions 354 to 796 of the family's 1533-position model. The record is from RNAcentral.